This 813-nucleotide ribosomal RNA is filed under the name Epicladonia sandstedei. RNAcentral describes it as "mitochondrial SSU rRNA". It matches the Rfam family "Bacterial small subunit ribosomal RNA", at positions 408 to 1204 of the family's 1533-position model. The record is from RNAcentral. Lineage: Eukaryota; Fungi; Ascomycota; Leotiomycetes.
AUGAAUAGCUUCGGCUAGUUAGACCACUUGGUGUGGCCUGAUAUCGACUAUGUCGAAUAAAAUUCUAGAUAGAAUACUGAUNAUGACAAUUUUCUAUCUACUUGUCUUGACCAAAUUACGUGCCAGCAAUCGCGGCAAUACGUAGAAGACUAGUGUUAUUCAUCUUUAGUAGGUUUAAAGGGUACCUAGACGGUAUGACUAGCCCAAAACAGGGUACGGUCUUACUAGAGUUUUAUAUGAGGAGGGGAGUAUUUAUGGAGUAGAGUUGAAAUUCUGUGAUCCCAUAACGACUGGUAGCGGCGAAAGCAACCUUUUAUCUAAAAACUGACGUUGAGGGACGAAGGCUUGGGUAGCGAACAGGAUUAGAUACCCUAGUAGUCUAAGCAGAGAAUUAUGAAUGUCAUAGGCUAGAUAUUUUUAGCCUAUAAAUGAAAGUGUAAGCAUUCCACCUCAAGAGUAAUGUGGCAACGCAGGAACUGAAAUCAUUAGACCGUUUCUGAAACCAGUAGUGAAGUAUGUUAUUUAAUUUGAUAGCACGCAAAAAACCUUACCACAAUUCGUAUUUUAUAUUUUAAACUAUAUUAGUCGUAAAAUUCUUCUAUAGUUAGAGUAUAUUACAAGCGUUGCACGGCUGUCUUCAGUUAAUGUCGUGAGAUUUUGGUUAGUUCCAUAAAAUUAACGUAAACCCUUGCUCUAUUUUUUAACAUCCUAUCAGGGUUUUCCCUUUUUAGGACACUAAGAUUUUUAUAGGGUAGUUCACCAUCAUAUUGGAUAUAUGAUAAAAGGGACCAAGACAAGUCAUCAUGGCCUGAA